RNAcentral lists this ribosomal RNA (253 nucleotides) under uncultured bacterium. RNAcentral's name for it is "partial 16S ribosomal RNA". It matches the Rfam family "Bacterial small subunit ribosomal RNA", at positions 524 to 776 of the family's 1533-position model. The record is from RNAcentral.
UACGUAGGGGGCUAGCGUUGUCCGGAAUCAUUGGGCGUAAAGAGCGUGUAGGCGGCUCGAUAAGUCCGCUGUGAAAGUCCAGGGCUCAACCCUGGGAUGCCGGUGGAUACUGUCGGGCUCGAGUCCGGAAGAGGCGAGUGGAAUUCCGUGGUGUAGCGGUGAAAUGCGCAGAUAUCAGGAGGAACACCAAUGGCGAAGGCAGCUCGCUGGGACGUGACUGACGCUGAGACGCGAAAGCGUGGGAGCAAACAGG